AAAUUCUCCUGCCUCGGGAAUCCGUAAACCGGGGAAGGAGGCUCGAACGCGCGUCUCGCCGCGGGGAGGAGCUGCCCGCCGGGCGACGCCGAGGAGGAGGGGGCGGCCGCGCCGGACGCGCAGGAAGAGAAUUUUAAGAGAAAUGCACGCUUCUAAUAGCUUGUCAGAAACAACAAAAGCUUUCUAACUCUGAAGACUGGUAAAUUUAGGCUGUGAGAUGUACCAUGAAUUCGAAAAUCAACUCCUCAUGCUGGGAGCCGAUUGCCCCAAAUUCUUUCAAGUGAGAAGACAGGGACCGUUAGCUGAAAUGCCGCUGUUGAGUUUAGUGGUGUGAGCGUGCAUAAGGAUACAGAGCACAAGUUCCCAAAGUAAAACAACUCCCCACUCUGCCUAUCCCACUCUGCCAAUCCAAGAGACCAGGACAUCUGGCAUCACUCUUGAAAUCUAAAGAACUGACAAGAAGAAGGAAGGAAAGAAAACAAGAUUUCUGAAAUGGAGACGACAGUCUGGGAGAGAAGAAACAAGAUUUUUUUAUUGUGAUAAAAGAUCUUUAGUUAAAGAUUUUGUUUUUAUUGUAUGUGUGUUUGUGGGAGAGAGACCUAAGCUACCUGCUAUGGACUGAAUGUUUGCGUCCCCCCAAAAAUUCAUAUGUGGAAGACUAAUCCCCAAAUUGAUAGUAUUGGUAUUAGGAGAUGGGGCCUUUGGGAGGUAAUUAGGUCAUGAGGAUGGAGCCCUCAUGAAUGGGAUUAGUGCCCUUACAAGAAGAGACAAGAGAACUUGUUCUUUGCCAUGUGAGACUAAGACAAGAAGAUAGCCAUCUGCAAGCCAUGAAGGGAGUCUUCACAAGACCCUGGAUCUACCAACACCUUGAUCGUGGACCUCCCAGCCUUCGUAACUGUGCAAAUAAAUGUUUUUGUUUAAGUCACCAAGUCUGUGGUAUUCUGUUAUAUGAGCCUUAACUAUAGCACUACCUCAGGAGUUACUGUAGUGGUGGUUGUCUUUUACCCCAACUUUGGCAAAGGGGCCAUGCUGUAAUCUGUUCUUGUACUAGAAGACUAUUAGGAUUUCCAGGAAAUCAUUAAAGUUUUGCUACAACCAUGCAUAAUUAUGUGAUUGUGUAUGUGUUUUACUUAUACAGUCUUCUCAUUAAUUAGACAUUUAACUAGAAUCUUAUUUCAUUCUUUAGAAAAGAGAUGUCAAUUAUGACUUUAUAUUUGGGUUAUGUUUCUCUAAAGCUAUUUUCACUCUCUUUUUA
This is a long non-coding RNA of Bos taurus (domestic cattle), 1255 nucleotides long. The record is from Ensembl. NCBI's taxonomy places the organism in Eukaryota, Metazoa, Chordata, Mammalia, Artiodactyla, Bovidae.